GCGGGGUCUCAGCCUACCAACAUGGCGCCCCCCCAGGCCCAGCGUCGGAAAACCACUCUCAGUGAGGGCGGUGGGCAAAUGGCAUCAGCUCUUUGAGCCACAGUGUUUUCAGCUGUAAAUGAGGAUCAGCUUACUGGCCUCUCAGAGAUGCGGGGACAGUCAAGUGACAUAAUAACCCAGGCCCACCCUUCUGUGGCUUCCCGUUGCUGUCGUGGCCAAGUUCGAGCUCUGGCUGUGAGCUGGCCGGCACCUGCCCGACGACAUACCCCCCGUCUUCCCCCUCCCAGAGACCCCCUUUUGAGAACCAUGCCCAACUGCUUGCAGUUCCUUGAACUUCUCUGGUCCGUGCCUUUGCACGUACUGCUCCCCUCUGCCUGAGCUGCCUUUCCUCUACUUCCCCAAUCGAGGGGCCUACUCACCUCUUCUCAGGUGAAACCAUGAGGACACCUUUCCUGGGAUUCUAAGAAAGGGAGAGAAAAACCUCAGACUGGAUUCGGAGAAAUGGAGCUGGCCUCCUGCAGUUCUGGAAGAAGGAAAAUGAGAGGUGGGGUUCCUGAUCAGCCAGUUCGAAGCUGAGAGGCCUUGGGCGAAUUGGCUUCACCCUAUGGGACUGGAGCAGAGCCCAGAAGCCCUGCGGAGGCUCCAGUGCCAGCUUCCUGGUGGCACUGGUGUGCUGCUUAUGCAAGCUGUCACCACAGGCCAGAUGGAUUCCCUGUAUGUCUCUUUGCAUGUCCUGUAUAUGUACCAUUAUUUCAAAGAAAACAUGUUUAAAAAUCAUUUUUAAAAAAGAAAAACAGGUAGACAACCUUAGCAUAAAGUGUAAUCUGACUUUGACAAUUAACCGUGGGGGUGGAGAGACCGAAUGUGUUCUUUCCUUUCUACAAUCUUUUCCAGAAAGGCUUCCUGUAAUUCAUGCUUCCUAGGAGAACAAUAAUAAAUGUGUAAUAUCUUUCUGCUUUGAA
This is a long non-coding RNA of Canis lupus familiaris (dog), 962 nucleotides long. RefSeq lists it as uncharacterized. The record is from RefSeq and is a predicted model, not a curated record. The transcript has 3 exons. NCBI's taxonomy places the organism in Eukaryota, Metazoa, Chordata, Mammalia, Carnivora, Canidae.